This 20-nucleotide unclassified non-coding RNA is filed under the name Mus musculus (house mouse). RNAcentral describes it as "oocyte_clustered_small_RNA6745". Lineage: Eukaryota; Metazoa; Chordata; Mammalia; Rodentia; Muridae. The record is from RNAcentral.
UGUCACACCAAGAGUUGCCC